AGAGUUUGAUCCUGGCUCAGGACGAACGCUGGCGGCGUGCCUAAUACAUGCAAGUCGAGCGGACGGAUGGGAGCUUGCUCCCUGAAGUCAGCGGCGGACGGGUGAGUAACACGUGGGCAACCUGCCUGUAAGACUGGGAUAACUCCGGGAAACCGGGGCUAAUACCGGAUAACUCUUUUCCUCACAUGAGGGAAAGCUGAAAGAUGGUUUCGGCUAUCACUUACAGAUGGGCCCGCGGCGCAUUAGCUAGUUGGUGAGGUAACGGCUCACCAAGGCCACGAUGCGUAGCCGACCUGAGAGGGUGAUCGGCCACACUGGGACUGAGACACGGCCCAGACUCCUACGGGAGGCAGCAGUAGGGAAUCUUCCGCAAUGGACGAAAGUCUGACGGAGCAACGCCGCGUGAGUGAUGAAGGUUUUCGGAUCGUAAAACUCUGUUGUCAGGGAAGAACAAGUACCGGAGUAACUGCCGGUACCUUGACGGUACCUGACCAGAAAGCCACGGCUAACUACGUGCCAGCAGCCGCGGUAAUACGUAGGUGGCAAGCGUUGUCCGGAAUUAUUGGGCGUAAAGCGCGCGCAGGCGGUUCCUUAAGUCUGAUGUGAAAGCCCCCGGCUCAACCGGGGAGGGUCAUUGGAAACUGGGGAACUUGAGUGCAGAAGAGAAGAGUGGAAUUCCACGUGUAGCGGUGAAAUGCGUAGAGAUGUGGAGGAACACCAGUGGCGAAAGCGGCCUCCU
This 739-nucleotide ribosomal RNA is filed under the name uncultured soil bacterium. RNAcentral describes it as "bacterial SSU rRNA". It matches the Rfam family "Bacterial small subunit ribosomal RNA", at positions 8 to 730 of the family's 1533-position model. The record is from RNAcentral.